This 497-nucleotide ribosomal RNA is filed under the name uncultured bacterium. RNAcentral's name for it is "partial 16S ribosomal RNA". It matches the Rfam family "Bacterial small subunit ribosomal RNA", at positions 28 to 507 of the family's 1533-position model. The record is from RNAcentral.
GAUGAACGCUGGCGGCGUGCCUAAUACAUGCAAGUCGAGCGAACAGACGAGGAGCUUGCUCCUCUGACGUUAGCGGCGGACGGGUGAGUAACACGUGGAUAACCUACCUAUAAGACUGGGAUAACUUCGGGAAACCGGAGCUAAUACCGGAUAACAUGUUGAACCGCAUGGUUCAACAGUGAAAGACGGUCUUGCUGUCACUUAUAGAUGGAUCCGCGCCGCAUUAGCUAGUUGGUAAGGUAACGGCUUACCAAGGCAACGAUGCGUAGCCGACCUGAGAGGGUGAUCAGCCACACUGGAACUGAGACACGGUCCAGACUCCUACGGGAGGCAGCAGUAGGGAAUCUUCCGCAAUGGGCGAAAGCCUGACGGAGCAACGCCGCGUGAGUGAAGAAGGUCUUCGGAUCGUAAAACUCUGUUAUUAGGGAAGAACAAAUGUGUAAGUAACUAUGCACGUCUUGACGGUACCUAAUCAGAAAGCCACGGCUAACUACGUG